CCUACGGGUGGCAGCAGUGGGGAAUAUUGCGCAAUGGGCGAAAGCCUGACGCAGCGACGCCGCGUGAGGGAUGAAGGUCUUCGGAUCGUAAACCUCUGUCAGCAGGGAAGAACGGUCACUGUGCUAAUCAACAGUGCAUUGACGGUACCUGCACAGGAAGCACCGGCUAAAUCCGUGCCAGCAGCGUCGGUAAUACGGAGGGUGCGAGCGUUAAUCGGAAUAACUGGGCGUAAAGCGCUCGUAGGCGGGAUGUCAAGUCAAGGGUGAAAUCCCCGGGCUCAACGUGGGAACUGCCUUUAAAACUGGCAAACUGGAGUGUGUGAGAGGAGAGUGGAAUUCCAGGUGUAGGAGUGAAAUCCGUAGAUAUCUGGAGGAACAUCAGUGGCGAAGGCGACUAUCUGGCACAUAACUGACGCUGAGGAGCGAAAGCGUGGGUAGCAAACAGGAUUAGAUACCCCUGUAGUC
Molecule: ribosomal RNA, 465 nt
Filed under: uncultured bacterium
Lineage: Bacteria
Description: partial 16S ribosomal RNA
Rfam family: Bacterial small subunit ribosomal RNA
Source: RNAcentral